This 250-nucleotide unclassified non-coding RNA is filed under the name plant metagenome. Its description in RNAcentral is "partial contains small subunit ribosomal RNA, internal transcribed spacer 1, and 5.8S ribosomal RNA". The record is from RNAcentral.
GUAGGUGAACCUGCGGAAGGAUCAUUAACACGUAUCCAACGUUAAACAACCCCGUGAACUUUCAGCCUGCUCUCGUAGCCCACGCGGCAACAGCAAUCCGGUAAAUCAUUGCCAAACAGUUUUGAUUCGGACCUCUGUUACGAUGUGAGAAGUUAAAGUUACGAUCGAGCGGUAGAGCAGUGGCAUGGCUUCCCGAAGCAGAACCCAGAGAAUGAAAGGGUCUUUGGCUGUGUAAGGAUAACGCCUCACG